This 440-nucleotide ribosomal RNA is filed under the name uncultured bacterium. RNAcentral's name for it is "partial 16S ribosomal RNA". It matches the Rfam family "Bacterial small subunit ribosomal RNA", at positions 338 to 795 of the family's 1533-position model. The record is from RNAcentral.
CCUACGGGAGGCAGCAGUGGGGGAUAUUGCACAAUGGGGGGAACCCUGAUGCAGUGACGCCGCGUGGGUGAAGAAGCGCCUCGGCGCGUAAAGCCCUGUCAGCAGGGAAGAAAAUGACGGUACCUGAAGAAGAAGCCCCGGCCAACUACGUGCCAGCAGGCGCGGUAAUACGGAGGGGGCAAGCGUUAUCCGGAUUUACUGGGUGUAAAGGGGGCGCAGACGGCGAUGCAAGCCAGGAGUGAAAGCCCGGGGGCCAACCCCAGGACGGCUCUUGAAACUGCGGGGCUGGAGUGCAGGAGGGGCAGGCGGAAUUCCUGGUGUAGCGGUGAAAUGCGUAGAUAUCAGGAGGAACACCGGUGGCGAAGGCGGCCUGCUGGACUGCAACUGACGUUGAGGCCCGAAAGCGUGGGGAGCAAACAGGAUUAGAUACCCGAGUAGUC